Molecule: long non-coding RNA, 1010 nt
Filed under: Capsicum annuum
Lineage: Eukaryota; Viridiplantae; Streptophyta; Magnoliopsida; Solanales; Solanaceae
Description: long non-coding RNA (CANN_LNC009265)
Source: RNAcentral
ACACACAUUUUUAUACACCCACACAUAUUUUUUUUCUCUCUCUCAAAUACAUACACAAAAAAACACAAGAAAAAAUCUUUCUUCAUUUUUCAUUUUCUCUCCCCAAAAUACACAAAUGCAUAUGCAUAUUUUUCAAUCACACAUACAUUAUAUUCUUCUAUCUCUCCUCUCUCAAGAAUAAACAAAUACACACACAUUUUUAUUCUUCCUCUCUCUAAAAAAAUUCACACAUAUUUUUCACCUCUUUCUCCUCUCCCUCAAACACAAAAUUUGUUCAUCUUUUUUUUUUUUCUAAAAACACAUACAUAUACUCAAAAUAAAUACUCCGGCCGAUGAAACUAUCUUUCCGUCGGAUAUUUCAGGCCAUCCUGUGACAAAAGACGGAUUUUAUUUUGUCAAAUUUAUUAUUUUAUAUCAAAAGCCAACACAUGACCGAUGAAAUUAUCUCUCCAUCGGAUACUUGAGGCCACUCCAUUACAAAUGACGGACUUUAUUUUCAAAAGAUUACUAUUUUGUAUCAAAAUAAAUACUUGGCCAAUGAAAAAUUACCGUCGAUUUUCUAGGCCCCACAAAUAAAAUACGGAUAUUACGUAUAUAAAUAUGUAAUAAAAAAUUAAAUAUUUUGGGCGAUGACGAAAUCUUAAAAUUAUCACGACAACAAGAACGGUUUUAUGAUGCACAUCUUGACAAGACGAUUUAGAUGGCCGAUUAAUCGAGCAACCACUUCGUAGCCAUGGCGUAUCUAAAAUCUAAUCCGAGCCCACACUUUGAUAAAAUAUUUCUAUUUUUAUGUACAUAUGCACACAUAAUUUUUAGUUUAUUUUACUUUGUUACUAAUGUGUUUGUACAGAUUUUUCGAGAUUGUUUGUCGGAAAAUGACAUUCAAAAGAAGAAUCUUUUAUUUUUAUUAUUUUCUUGUAAUUGUACAUAUCAAAUAUAGUGAAAACUUUACCUUUUGGGGUGUUGGGCGGGAGUAUUCUUUAUCUACAUAAUACACGUUUAGGCAAAAC